CCUACGGGAGGCAGCAGUGAGGAAUAUUGGUCAAUGGAGGCAACUCUGAACCAGCCAUCCCGCGUGAAGGAUUGAAGGCGCUCGACGUCGUAAACUUCUUUUAUAUAGGAAUAACCGUAAGUACGUGUACUUACCUGAAUGUACUAUAUGAAUAAGCAUCGGCUAACUCCGUGCCAGCAGCCGCGGUAAUACGGAGGAUGCAAGCGUUAUCCGGAUUUAUUGGGUUUAAAGGGUCCGCAGGCGGAUCGGUCAGUCAGUGGUGAAAUCCCAUCGCUUAACGAUGGAACUGCCAUUGAUACUGCCGGUCUUGAGUCUAGUUGACGUAGGCGGAAUAUGACAUGUAGCGGUGAAAUGCAUAGAUAUGUCAUAGAACACCAAUUGCGAAGGCAGCUUACGAAACUACGACUGACGCUCAUGGACGAAAGCGUGGGUAGCGAACAGGAUUAGAUACCCUGGUAGUCCACGCCGUAAACGAUGAUCACUCGAUGUCAGCGAUAUACUGUUGGUGUCUUAGCGAAAGUUUUAAGUGAUCCACCUGGGGAGUACGUUCGCAAGAAUGAAACUCAAAGGAAUGACG
RNAcentral lists this ribosomal RNA (577 nucleotides) under uncultured bacterium. RNAcentral's name for it is "bacterial SSU rRNA". It matches the Rfam family "Bacterial small subunit ribosomal RNA", at positions 338 to 915 of the family's 1533-position model. The record is from RNAcentral.